UGAGCAGAAUGAGAAGAGAGAAGAAAGCCGCUCAUACUAAGGCAGUUUCACAGGAAGUGUGUAACGUGUGUGCGAACACAAGCAAGAGAGGAGAGAGAAAGUAACAUGAGUGAUAUCACCAACACAUAUGUACAGCAGAAGAACCCGAGAGAGGUGAGAAGAGGAAGUUAAAGGAAGAUUUUACUGAUCGUCACAGACCAGGGGUCACGGACCAAUCUGCAGGCCUGUGUGACCGGGGCUGUUUUCCUCACAACUAGUGGAUGCCAGACGGCUGCAGACCAGUCUUCCCUGUGUGGCUGAGGCCUCAUUGUUACAAACAA
Long non-coding RNA from Oreochromis niloticus (Nile tilapia), 320 nucleotides. RefSeq lists it as uncharacterized. NCBI's taxonomy places the organism in Eukaryota, Metazoa, Chordata, Actinopteri, Cichliformes, Cichlidae. The transcript has 3 exons. The record is from RefSeq and is a predicted model, not a curated record.